Molecule: ribosomal RNA, 253 nt
Filed under: uncultured bacterium
Lineage: Bacteria
Description: partial 16S ribosomal RNA
Rfam family: Bacterial small subunit ribosomal RNA
Source: RNAcentral
UACGUGGGGGGCAAGCGUUGUUCGGAAUUACUGGGCGUAAAGGGCUUGUAGGCGGCCAACUAAGUCCGACGUGAAAUCCCCAGGCUUAACCUGGGAACUGCGUCGGAUACUGGAUGGCUUGAAUUCGGGAGAGGGAUGCAGAAUUCCAGGUGUAGCGGUGAAAUGCGUAGAUAUCAGGAAGAACACCUAUGGCGAAGGCAGCACUCUGGGACGGUACUGACGCUGAGACGCGAAAGCGUGGGGAGCGAACAGG